UGCGGGAUCAGCUUAAGAAUGUCCAAUCUUAUCUGAUCUCGGAAGCUAAGCACAGUCGGGCCAGGUUAGUGCUGAGAUGGGAGAGCGCUGUGAAUAUCAGGUGCCACAG
Periophthalmus magnuspinnatus is the source of this 109-nucleotide ribosomal RNA. The record is from Ensembl. NCBI's taxonomy places the organism in Eukaryota, Metazoa, Chordata, Actinopteri, Gobiiformes, Gobiidae.